RNAcentral lists this ribosomal RNA (292 nucleotides) under uncultured bacterium. Its description in RNAcentral is "partial 16S ribosomal RNA". It matches the Rfam family "Bacterial small subunit ribosomal RNA", at positions 505 to 796 of the family's 1533-position model. The record is from RNAcentral.
GUGUCAGCAGCCGCGGUAAGACGAACCGUGCGAACGUUAUUCGGAAUCACUGGGCUUAAAGGGUGCGUAGGCUGGUUGCCAAGUCUGUGGUGAAAUCCUCCGGCUUAACCGGAGAACUGCCGUGGAUACUGGCGACCUCGAGUGGGGUAGGGGCUUGCGGAACUGUGCGUGGAGCGGUGAAAUGCGUUGAUAUGCACAGGAACUCCGGUGGCGAAGGCGGCGAGCUGGACCCUAACUGACGCUGAGGCACGAAAGCCAGGGGAGCGAACGGGAUUAGAUACCCCCGUAGUCC